RNAcentral lists this ribosomal RNA (308 nucleotides) under Clostridioides difficile. RNAcentral's name for it is "bacterial SSU rRNA". It matches the Rfam family "Bacterial small subunit ribosomal RNA", at positions 892 to 1199 of the family's 1533-position model. Lineage: Bacteria; Bacillati; Bacillota; Clostridia; Peptostreptococcales; Peptostreptococcaceae. The record is from RNAcentral.
GAGUGAAACUCAAAGGAAUUGACGGGGACCCGCACAAGUAGCGGAGCAUGUGGUUUAAUUCGAAGCAACGCGAAGAACCUUACCUAAGCUUGACAUCCCAAUGACAUCACCUUAAUCGGAGAGUUCCCUUCGGGGCCAUUGGUGACAGGUGGUGCAUGGUUGUAGUCAGCUCGUGGCAUGAGAUGGUGGGUUAAGUCACGCAACGAGCGCACCCCUUGUCUUUAGUUGCCGUCCAUAAGUUGGGCACUCUAGAGAGACUGCCAGGGAUAACCUGGAGGAAGGUGGGGAUGACGUCAAAUCAUCAUGCC